CUAUGCGCCUUGCCAGCCCGCUCAGGUGUGCCAGCCGCCGCGGUAAUACGGAGGAUGCGAGCGUUAUCCGGAUUUAUUGGGUUUAAAGGGUGCGUAGGCGGGAUGCCAAGUCAGCGGUAAAAAUGCGGUGCUCAACGCCGUCGAGCCGUUGAAACUGGCGUUCUUGAGUGGGCGAGAAGUAUGCGGAAUGCGUGGUGUAGCGGUGAAAUGCAUAGAUAUCACGCAGAACUCCGAUUGCGAAGGCAGCUUACUAAACUAUAACUGACACUGAAGCACGAAAGCGUGGGGAUCAAACAGG
This 298-nucleotide ribosomal RNA is filed under the name uncultured bacterium. RNAcentral describes it as "partial 16S ribosomal RNA". It matches the Rfam family "Bacterial small subunit ribosomal RNA", at positions 475 to 776 of the family's 1533-position model. The record is from RNAcentral.